GUCAGACUUGUACAUGAAAUCAUUAUCAUGUAUUUCUACUCUUUAAACCUAGAACAGAUGGAGCAACAUUGCACAAGGCUUAAGCACCUUUGUUCAAAAUUACAGUUUUGUGUGGCAUUUUACUAGGAAGUGCUUUAAAACCUUUUCAAGAUUUUAAAGAGUUGAUGAUGCUCAACCCUGCAAAAAUCACCUUUUAACACGAACAACUCCUCGGUGAACUAAGUUGCAU
RNAcentral lists this long non-coding RNA (229 nucleotides) under Hordeum vulgare. RNAcentral describes it as "long non-coding RNA (HVUL_LNC010678)". Lineage: Eukaryota; Viridiplantae; Streptophyta; Magnoliopsida; Poales; Poaceae. The record is from RNAcentral.